This 460-nucleotide ribosomal RNA is filed under the name uncultured bacterium. Its description in RNAcentral is "partial 16S ribosomal RNA". It matches the Rfam family "Bacterial small subunit ribosomal RNA", at positions 338 to 795 of the family's 1533-position model. The record is from RNAcentral.
CCUACGGGUGGCAGCAGUGAGGAAUCUUGGUCAAUGGACGAGAGUCUGAACCAGCCAAGUAGCGUGAAGGAUGACUGCCCUCUGGGUUGUAACCUUCUUUUAUAUGGGAAUAAAAUGUUCAACGUGUGGGAUUUUGUAUGUACUAUAUGAAUAAGGAUCGGCUAACUCCGUGCCAGCAGCCGCGGUAAUACGGAGGAUCCGAGCGUUAUCCGGAUUUAUUGGGUUUAACGGGAGCGUAGGUGGAUUGUUAAGUCAGUUGUGAAAGUUUGCGGCUCAACCGUACAAUUGCAGUUGAAACUGGCAGUCUUGAGGACAGUAGAGGUAGGCGGAAUUCGUGGUGUAGCGGUGAAAUGCUUAGAUAUCACGAAGAACGCCGAUGGCGAAGGCAGCUUACUGGACUGCAACUGACACUGAGGCUCGAAAGUGUGGGUAGCAAACAGGAUUAGAUACCCCUGUAGUC